Molecule: ribosomal RNA, 429 nt
Filed under: Bacteroidota bacterium
Lineage: Bacteria; Pseudomonadati; Bacteroidota
Description: Bacteroidetes bacterium partial 16S ribosomal RNA
Rfam family: Bacterial small subunit ribosomal RNA
Source: RNAcentral
UAGGGAAUCUUCCGCAAUGGACGCAAGUCUGACGGAGCAACGCCGCGUGAGUGAAGAAGGAUUUCGGUUCGUAAAACUCUGUUGUUAGAGAAGAACAGCGCAUAGAGUAACUGUUAUGCGUGUGACGGUAUCUAACCAGAAAGCCACGGCUAACUACGUGCCAGCAGCCGCGGUAAUACGUAGGUGGCAAGCGUUGUCCGGAUUUAUUGGGCGUAAAGCGAGCGCAGGCGGUCAAUUAAGUCUGAUGUGAAAGCCCCCGGCUCAACCGGGGAGGGUCAUUGGAAACUGGUUGACUUGAGUGCAGAAGAGGAGAGUGGAAUUCCAUGUGUAGCGGUGAAAUGCGUAGAUAUAUGGAGGAACACCAGUGGCGAAGGCGACUCUCUGGUCUGUAACUGACGCUGAGGCUCGAAAGCGUGGGUGGCAAACAGG